UCUUUCUAUAUUAUACUUUACUUAUUGUUGGAUAAGUUGCUAGAUGAUUAAUCAAUUUAUUAAGAAUAACUCUAUGAAUUCUCUAUAUGCUUGAUUGAGAGCUUUUAUCCAUGGCAUUAUUGUUUAUUGAUCAUAGAUAUGAAAAUGUGUACUUGGUAUGCCUUUGAAUAUUGCACUAUAAAUACCAAGAUUAAAGGAACCANN
This 204-nucleotide long non-coding RNA is filed under the name Phoenix dactylifera (date palm). RNAcentral describes it as "long non-coding RNA (PDAC_LNC003365)". Lineage: Eukaryota; Viridiplantae; Streptophyta; Magnoliopsida; Arecales; Arecaceae. The record is from RNAcentral.